AUUUUGUAGUUGAAUUGUAGUGGUUUAUCUUUCUGAUCUGAAUGCUGAAUAAUCUUGAUGGUGUCAUGCUAAUAACUUCAUGCAUAAAACACACUUAUGAAGAGGGCUCAUCGUCAAUAAUAGUGGAUAUAAAUCCAUACUUCCAAUAGUCUUCAUGGUAAUUUUGAAUUUUUUAAUGAUUUCUUGGCAGAUCUGAUUAGCCUGUCAUUGUUCUAAACCUCAAGUGGCUGAUGAAGAGCUUGUCAUAGGAGGAGAAGUGCCAGCAUUUCAGCCAUUUUUUUCUGUUGCUCACUUUUGCUUGUAUUAGUAGAAUUAGAUUCAGUCUGAGGUUUCUUUACAGAAAUCUUUUAAAGCCACUUGUCCAUUUUGUGAAGGUCUCUUUAUUGAAACUCAAGGACGUUUGCCAUAUAACCACUAAUGAGGCACCUUUAAAUGAAAAUGCUUUCCAGAAUUCUAGAACUGAACCCACAAGUGGAGCUUCCUCAGCCUUUUUGCUGUGGAGCUGCCUCAUGAUUCAUCUGUAAACCCAACCAGACAGGACUGUCCAACAUUUGGACUGAACAAAGGCAGCAGUGAUCAUCUUUAUACUUAGUAAUAGGAAAGCAUAAUUUGUUUCUUGUUUUUCUUGUUUUUUGAUUUGAAAUACUUAGGAACAGAAGUUCUAAUAUUUUCUGUCUGCACUCCAAGGGAUUGGUUCAGAUGCUCCUGCAUUGGAGACCACAGGAAUAAACCCUGUCACCAAUAUGAGAACUACCUCAGGCUAGCCUGCUGGAAGAUAAGAAACAACAUGGACCAGAGCCAAGUCAUCCUAGCCAAGGCUAUCCUAGACCAACCAACACAGCCACAUUCUCAGCUGAUCACAGAUGCAUGAGCAAGCCCAGCCAAGAUCUGCAGAACCACCCAGAGAAACCCAUAGACUCAUGAAAAAUCAUAAAUGUUUGUUGUUUAAGCAACUAAGUUUGGGGAUGGUUUGUUACAUACUAGUAGUUAACUGAUACAAACAACCAUGCUGGACCACUAUACUAUAUUUUCCUUCAAAUGAUACUGGCUUCACUUGACUCUAGGAUCCUCCAGGAAUGGAUAGCUCCAGCUGUGAAGAACCUUCCUUUAGACUAUCACCUCAUUGCUCCUCAUCCCUGUCUUACCCCUGCCCCUACCAUUAUGCCAACCCAUAAAGGCAGUUAUAAUUAUUCCUCACCUUUAUUCCUUAGUUUUUUCUGGAGUAGAGAGGAAACCAGGGUGCCUCAACUCUAGCACAAUUUUGAGCUCUGUUUCCUUGCCUACUUCUUUGCCCAUCUCUCCAUCAUUUAGGAGGUGGGUUGGAAUUAGCCACAGUCAGUUGUGCCAAAAUAAUAUACCAGGGUAAUGAGAAGAAGGCACAGAUAGCGCUGGGAAUCAACCCCUCGCACCUUUGGCCUGUCUCUCAGGGUGAGCUUCUUACUCAGUAGUGGUGGGGACCCAAAGUCCCUGAAGGCAUGCUCCUGCUUUGUCACCUGAUCCCCAAAUGAAACCUUGCAAAGCUAAAUUCUCCCUGCCUGCCAGGACUCAGGCAGGGGGCAGCAAGCAGUACCUACAUAGGACUGAAUGGCCCCAGCUGCUCAACUCGAAUUUAAAAAUAAUUUGGCAAUGUGUUCCACAGAGUGAAAGCCUUCUGGGGCAUUUCUGCCAGAUGCCUCCAGCUACUGGGUUCCCACGGAAAGGGAGUGUCAAGUCCUGGGCCCAGAAGAUAUUCUGGGGAUCUGGAACAGGGUACAU
RNAcentral lists this long non-coding RNA (1755 nucleotides) under Homo sapiens (human). RNAcentral describes it as "HSALNT0307045". The record is from RNAcentral. Lineage: Eukaryota; Metazoa; Chordata; Mammalia; Primates; Hominidae.